This 1255-nucleotide ribosomal RNA is filed under the name metagenome. RNAcentral's name for it is "bacterial LSU rRNA". It matches the Rfam family "Bacterial large subunit ribosomal RNA", at positions 1654 to 2912 of the family's 2925-position model. The record is from RNAcentral.
CCGACACAGGUGGGAAGGUAGAGUAUACCCAGGGGCGCGAGAUAACUCUCUCUAAGGAACUCGGCAAAAUGGCCCCGUAACUUCGGGAGAAGGGGUGCCACCGAGAGGUGGUCGCAGUGAAGAGUCCCAGGCGACUGUUUACCAAAAACACAGGUCUCCGCUAAGUCGCAAGACGAUGUAUGGGGGCUGACGCCUGCCCAGUGCCGGAAGGUUAAGGAAGUUGGUCAGGGAGCAAUCCUGAAGCUAGCGACUGAAGCCCCGGUGAACGGCGGCUGUAACUAUAACGGUCCUAAGGUAGCGAAAUUCCUUGUCGGGUAAGUUCCGACCCGCACGAAAGGCGUAACGAUCUGGGAGCUGUCUCGGAGAGAGGCUCGGCGAAAUAGGAAUGUCUGUGAAGAUACGGACUACCUGCACCCGGACAGAAAGACCCUAUGAAGCUUUACUGUAGCUUGGUAUUGGGUUCGGGCUUUGAUUGCGCAUGAUAGGUGGGAGACUAUGAGAUAGCUCUUGUGGGAGUUAUGGAGUCACUGGUGAGAUACCACUCUAUCAAGGCUAGAAUUCUAACUUUGACCCGUUAUCCGGGCAGAGAACAGUAUCAGGUGGGCAGUUUGACUGGGGCGGUCGCCUCCUAAAUGGUAACGGAGGCGCGCAAAGGUUCCCUCAGGCUGGUUGGAAAUCAGCCAUUGAGUGUAAAGGCAUAAGGGAGCUUGACUGCGAGACUGACAAGUCGAGCAGGUACGAAAGUAGGCCUUAGUGAUCCGACGGUUCCGCGUGGAAGGGCCGUCGCUCAACGGAUAAAAGUUACUCUAGGAUAACAGGCUGAUCUCCCCCAAGAGUUCACAUCGACGGGGAGGUUUGGCACCUCGAUGUCGGCUCAUCGCAACCUGGGGCUGUAGUCGGUCCCAAGGGUUGGGCUGUUCGCCCAUUAAAGCGGUACGUGAGCUGGGUUCAGAACGUCGUGAGACAGUUCGGUCCAUAUCCGGUGCAGGCGUAGGAACAUUGAGAGGAGUCUUCCUUAGUACGAGAGGACCGGGAAGAACGCACCGCUGGUGUACCUGUUAUCGUGCCAACGGUAAACGCAGGGUAGCCAAGUGCGGAGAGGAUAACCGCUGAAAGCAUCUAAGUGGGAAGCCCACCUCAAGAUGAGUGUUCCCAUGGCAAAAGCCAGUAAGGUCACGGGUAGACCACCCGUUAAUAGGCGCUAGAUGGAAGUCCAGCAAUGGAUGUAGUCGAGGCGUACUAACAGACCGAGGGC